UGCUUUAUGCAGUUAUGGAGUUAUGUAUGGCGUUUGCAUAGCUAUCGGUUGACAGUUGAGAGGGAUUCAAACUAUGUCUGUUUCAUCUCAAUUGAAACAUGAUAGCUCUGAAGACGCCACCCAGAAUUCCUCAACCGCAUAAAGCG
This is a non-coding RNA of Marchantia polymorpha subsp. ruderalis, 146 nucleotides long. NCBI's taxonomy places the organism in Eukaryota, Viridiplantae, Streptophyta, Marchantiopsida, Marchantiales, Marchantiaceae. The record is from the annotation of a GenBank genome assembly.